This 460-nucleotide ribosomal RNA is filed under the name uncultured bacterium. Its description in RNAcentral is "partial 16S ribosomal RNA". It matches the Rfam family "Bacterial small subunit ribosomal RNA", at positions 338 to 795 of the family's 1533-position model. The record is from RNAcentral.
CCUACGGGGGGCAGCAGUGAGGAAUAUUGGUCAAUGGGCGCGAGCCUGAACCAGCCAAGUCGCGUGAGGGAUGAAGGUCCUAUGGAUGGUAAACCUCUUUUAUAAGGGAAUAAAGUGUGGGACGUGUCCGAUUUCGUAUGUACCUUAUGAAUAAGGAUCGGCUAACUCCGUGCCAGCAGCCGCGGUAAUACGGAGGAUUCGAGCGUUAUCCGGAUUUAUUGGGUUUAAAGGGUGCGUAGGCGGCCUUUUAAGUUAGCGGUGAAAGGCUGUGGCUCAACCCUAGAAUUGCCGUUGAAACUGGGGGGCUUGAGUGUGUUUGAGGCAGGCGGAAUGCGUUGUGUAGCGGUGAAAUGCUUAGAUAUCACGCAGAACCCCGAUUGCGAAGGCAGCCUGCCGAGCCAUGACUGACGCUGAUGCACGAAAGCGUGGGGAUCAAACAGGAUUAGAUACCCGAGUAGUC